AGUGAACGCUGGCGGUAGGCCUAACACAUGCAAGUCGAACGGCAGCACAGGAGAGCUUGCUCUCUGGGUGGCGAGUGGCGGACGGGUGAGGAAUACAUCGGAAUCUACUCUGUCGUGGGGGAUAACGUAGGGAAACUUACGCUAAUACCGCAUACGACCUACGGGUGAAAGCAGGGGAUCUUCGGACCUUGCGCGAUUGAAUGAGCCGAUGUCGGAUUAGCUAGUUGGCGGGGUAAAGGCCCACCAAGGCGACGAUCCGUAGCUGGUCUGAGAUGCUGAUCAGCCAGACUGGAACUGAGACACGGUCCAGACCCCUACGGGAGGCAGCAGUGGGGAAUAUUGGACAAUGGGCGCAAGCCUGAUCCAGCCAUACCGCGUGGGUGAAGAAGGCCUUCGGGUUGUAAAGCCCUUUUGUUGGGAAAGAAAUCCAGCUGGCUAAUACCCGGUUGGGAUGACGGUACCCAAAGAAUAAGCACCGGCUAACUUCGUGCCAGCCGCCGCCGUAA
This 506-nucleotide ribosomal RNA is filed under the name uncultured bacterium. Its description in RNAcentral is "partial 16S ribosomal RNA". It matches the Rfam family "Bacterial small subunit ribosomal RNA", at positions 29 to 523 of the family's 1533-position model. The record is from RNAcentral.